UCCACGGGAGGCAGCAGUGGGGAAUAUUGCACAAUGGGCGCAAGCCUGAUGCAGCGACGCCGCGUGAGGGAUAACGGCCUUCGGGUUGUAAACCUCUUUCAGUAGGGAACAAGGCUGCACGUUGUGUGGUUGAGGGUACUUGCAGAAGAAGCGCCGGCUAACUACGUGCCAGCAGCCGCGGUAAUACGUAGGGCGCAAGCGUUAUCCGGAAUUAUUGGGCGUAAAGAGCUCGUAGGCGGUUUGUCGCGUCUGCCGUGAAAGUCCGGGGCUCAACCCCGGAUCUGCGGUGGGUACGGGCAGACUAGAGUGAUGUAGGGGAGACUGGAAUUCCUGGUGUAGCGGUGAAAUGCGCAGAUAUCAGGAGGAACACCGAUGGCGAAGGCAGGUCUCUGGGCAUUAACUGACGCUGAGGAGCGAAAGCAUGGGGAGCGAACAGGAUUAGAUACCCUGGUAGUCCAUGCCGUAAACGUUGGGCACUAGGUGUGGGGGACAUUCCACGUUUUCCGCGCCGUAGCUAACGCAUUAAGUGCCCCGCCUGGGGAGUACGGCCGCAAGGCUAAAACUCAAAUGAAUUGACGGA
This 580-nucleotide ribosomal RNA is filed under the name uncultured bacterium. RNAcentral's name for it is "bacterial SSU rRNA". It matches the Rfam family "Bacterial small subunit ribosomal RNA", at positions 338 to 917 of the family's 1533-position model. The record is from RNAcentral.